UACGAAGGGGGCUAGCGUUGCUCGGAAUCACUGGGCGUAAAGCGCACGUAGGCGGAUUGUUAAGUCAGGGGUGAAAUCCUGGAGCUCAACUCCAGAACUGCCUUUGAUACUGGCGAUCUCGAGUCCGGGAGAGGUGAGUGGAACUGCGAGUGUAGAGGUGAAAUUCGUAGAUAUUCGCAAGAACACCAGUGGCGAAGGCGGCUCACUGGCCCGGUACUGACGCUGAGGUGCGAAAGCGUAGGGAGCAAACAGG
This 253-nucleotide ribosomal RNA is filed under the name uncultured bacterium. RNAcentral describes it as "partial 16S ribosomal RNA". It matches the Rfam family "Bacterial small subunit ribosomal RNA", at positions 524 to 776 of the family's 1533-position model. The record is from RNAcentral.